GACCUCCAAUCAGGAAGAAUACCGCUGAACUUAAGCUAUCAUAACGGAAGA
This 51-nucleotide ribosomal RNA is filed under the name Funneliformis mosseae. RNAcentral's name for it is "partial 28S ribosomal RNA". The record is from RNAcentral. Lineage: Eukaryota; Fungi; Glomeromycota; Glomeromycetes; Glomerales; Glomeraceae.